GAUGAACGCUGGCGGCGUGCCUAAUACAUGCAAGUCGAGCGAACGGACGAGAAGCUUGCUUCUCUGAUGUUAGCGGCGGACGGGUGAGUAACACGUGGAUAACCUACCUAUAAGACUGGGCUAACUUCGGGAAACCAGAGCUAAUACCGGAUAAUAUUUUGAACCGCAUGGUUCAAAAGUGAAAGACGGUCUUGCUGUCACUUAUAGAUGGAUCCGCGCUGCAUUAGCUAGUUGGUAAGGUAACGGCUUACCAAGGCUACGAUGCAUAGCCGACCUGAGAGGGUGAUCGGCCACACUGGAACAGAGACACGGUCCAGACUCCUACGGGAGGCAGCAGUAGGGACUCCUCCGCAAUGGGCGAAAGCCUGACGGAGCAACGCAGAGUGAGUGAUGAAGGUCUUCGGAUCGUAAAACUCUCUUAUUAGGGAAGAACAUAUGUGUAAGUAGCUGUGCACAUCUUGACGGUACCUAAUCAGAAAGCCACGGCUAACUACGUG
RNAcentral lists this ribosomal RNA (497 nucleotides) under uncultured bacterium. RNAcentral's name for it is "partial 16S ribosomal RNA". It matches the Rfam family "Bacterial small subunit ribosomal RNA", at positions 28 to 507 of the family's 1533-position model. The record is from RNAcentral.